AUGAACACGCAAGGGUUAAUGUCGUUGACAGCUGAGGGUUAAGAAUUUGCCUAAGAACCGAACUGUCAUUUUUUUCCAUCUCGUGGAAAUUGUUCGAGUCGUUGUGUGUAAAAGCAACGAAACGAAUUGCUGAUUUCAAAAUGAAUUUGCGCUUUUUGCCCGAACCUGAACCCACAGAAGGUAUCCAGUUACGACGGGGCUGCUAGCCAACGAAAAUAUUUUCGCACAUCAGGAGCUGCGAGACGGUUCUCAGGUUGACACCGAUGUCAUGCCGAUGACCGCUUCCGACCAAUGAUGGAUUUAAUCAUUCCGGCAGCUAGUUAAGUUCCAGAAUCAUUUCCAAGCCGAAACGGGACCGGUCUCAUAAAACAUGCAGGGUUGUUACGGAAGAGUCGAAAAAAAAUCCGCGCCAAAUCCGCGCCGACCUUAAACCCGAAACCGCGCGAAAUCCGCGCCAUAUAAAAAUAUCGCGACCAACAUUAGGAAAUUUUAUUUUUAAUUAAGAAAAAUUAAAUCAGAAAGUAUUUGAUAAAAGAAUUUAAGAAUUUAAGA
Long non-coding RNA from Culex pipiens pallens (northern house mosquito), 552 nucleotides. RefSeq lists it as uncharacterized. The record is from RefSeq and is a predicted model, not a curated record. Lineage: Eukaryota; Metazoa; Arthropoda; Insecta; Diptera; Culicidae. The transcript has 3 exons.